Molecule: ribosomal RNA, 755 nt
Filed under: Salinicola salarius
Lineage: Bacteria; Pseudomonadati; Pseudomonadota; Gammaproteobacteria; Oceanospirillales; Halomonadaceae
Description: bacterial SSU rRNA
Rfam family: Bacterial small subunit ribosomal RNA
Source: RNAcentral
UCAAGCGCAGCUACCAUGCAGUCGAGCGGCAGCACGGGGAGCUUGCUCCCUGGUGGCGAGCGGCGGACGGGUGAGUAAUGCAUAGGAAUCUGCCCGGUAGUGGGGGAUAACGUGGGGAAACCCACGCUAAUACCGCAUACGUCCUACGGGAGAAAGCGGAGGAUCUUCGGACUUCGCGCUAUCGGAUGAGCCUAUGUCGGAUUAGCUAGUUGGUAAGGUAAUGGCUUACCAAGGCGACGAUCCGUAGCUGGUCUGAGAGGAUGAUCAGCCACACUGGGACUGAGACACGGCCCAGACUCCUACGGGAGGCAGCAGUGGGGAAUAUUGGACAAUGGGCGAAAGCCUGAUCCAGCCAUGCCGCGUGUGUGAAGAAGGCUUUCGGGUUGUAAAGCACUUUCAGCGAGGAAGAAGGCCUCUGGGUUAAUACCCCAGAGGAAGGACAUCACUCGCAGAAGAAGCACCGGCUAACUCCGUGCCAGCAGCCGCGGUAAUACGGAGGGUGCGAGCGUUAAUCGGAAUUACUGGGCGUAAAGCGCGCGUAGGUGGCUUGGCACGCCGGUUGUGAAAGCCCCGGGCUCAACCUGGGAACGGCAUCCGGAACGGCCAGGCUAGAGUGCAGGAGAGGAAGGUAGAAUUCCCGGUGUAGCGGUGAAAUGCGUAGAGAUCGGGAGGAAUACCAGUGGCGAAGGCGGCCUUCUGGCCUGACACUGACACUGAGGUGCGAAAGCGUGGGUAGCAAACAGGAUUAGAUACCU